RNAcentral lists this unclassified non-coding RNA (818 nucleotides) under Cimex lectularius (bed bug). RNAcentral describes it as "s-adenosylhomocysteine hydrolase-like protein 1, transcript variant X1". The record is from RNAcentral. Lineage: Eukaryota; Metazoa; Arthropoda; Insecta; Hemiptera; Cimicidae.
UUUAGUAAUUGCUUGCUUUAUUUGCAGUGGUGUUUAUAUUUAAAUAUUGAGCACAUACAUUUCAAGAAAUAAAAUUUAGAAUAAAUAAUGAGGUUUGGUUGUCACAAGAUAUUAAAAUCAUGUUAAGUGUCGGCUUUAUGGUGUGGAAUAUGCUUUUGGUUCGGAUCAAACGUUUUAGUCCUGGUAAAACAUGAAAUACACACUGUUUAAAAACUAAUAAAAUACCUGAAUAAUCUCAAAUAUCCCUCUGUAUCUCCUGCUACGAGGAGGUCAUGAGCAGCUGAGCGGUUUACAGUUGAGAUUAUAGAUGUCAUUGGAUAGUAUCUGUUGUUCCAAAUUCCUGAUGGAGAUUUUUUAUUAGCAUGACAUUUAUUACAUUGUGAUAAAGAUAUUAUUACCAGAAACCAAGAAACCGACUGUUGAAUUAUGCGUAUACCAUUUAACAUCUUUCAUAGUGAUUGGACUCUUUUCUGAAAAAGUCAAGUCAUAAUCGGCAGUGACAGUCUGAAUGAAGUUGCUGUCUGUGCUCCAAUCCAUCUGCAUAAGAGGCUGGGACCCUCUUAUUUUGUUAAUUUUUUUAUAAGAAUAUCCAUCACGGCUUACUCUGAACAGCCAAGGCAAUUGAGUGGGGAGCCGCAUACUCUUACUGUUGCAACAAUAUUUCCAGCUUCAGCGUUCAAAACUACCAGGUGCCCAUCCGUCGAGCCUGCAGCAAGGGCAACACCAAAUGGAUGAAAGCUUAUUGAAAUACAUUCAUGCGCGACCUGAAAUAAACAAUUUAUUAGGCACAAGAAGAAUGAAAUAAACUUAAUAUGAUA